UUAUUGGGUUUAAGGGUCCGUAGGCGGAUCUGUAAGUCAGUGGUGAAAUCUCACAGCUUAACUGUGAAACUGCCAUUGAUACUGCAGGUCUUGAGUGUUAUUGAAGUAGCUGGAAUAAGUAGUGUAGCGGUGAAAUGCAUAGAUAUUACUUAGAACACCAAUUGCGAAGGCAGGUUACUAAGCAACAACUGACGCUGAUGGACGAAAGCGUGGGGAGCGAACAGGAUUAGAUACCCUGGUAGUCCACGCCGUAAACGAUGCUAACUCGUUUUUGGUUUUUCGGAAUCAGAGACUAAGCGAAAGUGAUAAGUUAGCCACCUGGGGAGUACGUUCGCAAGAAUGAAACUCAAAGGAAUUGACGGGGGCCCGCACAAGCGGUGGAUUAUGUGGUUUAAUUCGAUGAUACGCGAGGAACCUUACCAAGGCUUAAAUGGGAAAUGACAGGUUUAGAAAUAGACUUUUCUUCGGACAUUUUUCAAGGUGCUGCAUGGUUGUCGUCAGCUCGUGCCGUGAGGUGUUAGGUUAAGUCCUGCAACGAGCGCAACCCCUGUCACUAGUUGCCAUCAUUAAGUUGGGGACUCUAGUGAGACUGCCUACGCAAGUAGAGAGGAAGGUGGGGAUGACGUCAAAUCAUCACGGCCCUUACGCCUUGGGCCACACACGUAAUACAAUGGCCGGUACAGAGGGCAGCUACACAGCGAUGUGAUGCAAAUCUCGAAAGCCGGUCUCAGUUCGGAUUGGAGUCUGCAACUCGACUCUAUGAAGCUGGAAUCGCUAGUAAUCGCGCAUCAGCCAUGGCGCGGUGAAUACGUCCCCGGGCUUGUACACACCGCCCGUGCAAGCCAUGGAAGUCUGGGGUACCUGAAGUCGGUGACCGUAACAGGAGCUGCCUAGGGUAAACAAGUAACUAGGUCUAGUCUAACAAGGGAGCCGUACGGAGGGCCGCUGGAUCUCUACUAUAAGUUC
Molecule: ribosomal RNA, 966 nt
Filed under: Chryseobacterium sp. BAC-N12
Lineage: Bacteria; Pseudomonadati; Bacteroidota; Flavobacteriia; Flavobacteriales; Weeksellaceae
Description: bacterial SSU rRNA
Rfam family: Bacterial small subunit ribosomal RNA
Source: RNAcentral